Molecule: long non-coding RNA, 895 nt
Organism: Panthera uncia (snow leopard)
Lineage: Eukaryota; Metazoa; Chordata; Mammalia; Carnivora; Felidae
Exons: 2
Source: RefSeq, a predicted model, not a curated record
UUUGCUUUAACAUCUCUUCCCCACCACCACCACCCCCUAUCUUUUGUAUACAAGUUCUUACUGAGUUUCAGAAAUUCUGGGUUCCAUCUACUUGAUCCCACAGUGGAAUGCCUAGAUUAUUGGCCCAAAUUUUGUUUUUUAAAUGAAUUCCAACACUAUCCUGGGGUAUCUUGCAGCUCAGACUCCCUAUCUGGUUCUUAGAUUUGCACUUAGCACAUGGUUAAUUUUGUUGGUUUGCCCACACUGGAAAGUUCGUUCUAAAGGGUAUGUGUGGGCAUGAGGUCCAGCCAUUUUUCCAAUGAUCUAAUGCUGAUUUUGUCACUGGGUUUUUGGGGGGUUUCUGUGUGUUUGGUGUUUUUGGUUAUCCAUGUAUUGCGAACUGUUAUUCCUAAAAGCUUCUAGAUGCCUCAUCUCUAGGCCCCAUCAGAAAUGACCAAUUACAAACUAAACUACUUUUGAGACACGACAAAAGGAAAAAGAUGAGCUGGAACCUUUCUCACUAGUUCAGUGGGAGAGCGGAAGAAUCUUGACUUUGACCUUGAGUUCCAAUCUUAACUCUGCCAUUUGCUAACUUGGCCUUGAGCAGAUGGCAUCCUCUCUUUGGCCUCUCCCGGCAGGAGAGGAGGACAAUAUAGGGAAGAUUCCAUGGACAACAUGCCAAAGACUGCGGCUUGAAAAUGGCACCGAGCUAAUUCACCACAACCCCGUUGAAGGACAGGAAUUGAAAUCAUAAACACGGAGAGCGAUGAGCUAUCCGUCUGAAGUGACGAACGGAACUCACUCGUUGGACGGUCAGCCUCGGACGAUAAAUAUGCCGGUUGCAGCCCAGUCUACCAUGCCACUCUUAUCUCCGUGCUGCUAGAUUUCAGAUUAAAAUAUUCCCUUAAAUCUCUCA